UACAGAGGUCUCAAGCGUUGUUCGGAUUCAUUGGGCGUAAAGGGUGCGUAGGCGGCCCGGUAAGUCGGGUGUGAAAUCUCGGAGCUUAACUCCGAAACUGCAUUCGGUACUGCCGUGCUUGAGGACUGGAGAGGAGACUGGAAUUUACGGUGUAGCGGUGAAAUGCGUAGAUAUCGUAAGGAAGACCAGUGGCGAAGGCGGGUCUCUGGACAGUUCCUGACGCUGAUGCACGAAGGCCAGGGGAGUAAACGGG
RNAcentral lists this ribosomal RNA (253 nucleotides) under uncultured bacterium. RNAcentral's name for it is "partial 16S ribosomal RNA". It matches the Rfam family "Bacterial small subunit ribosomal RNA", at positions 524 to 776 of the family's 1533-position model. The record is from RNAcentral.